This 5015-nucleotide long non-coding RNA is filed under the name Homo sapiens (human). RNAcentral describes it as "HSALNT0261448". Lineage: Eukaryota; Metazoa; Chordata; Mammalia; Primates; Hominidae. The record is from RNAcentral.
CAGAGUUUCUCCCGCAUCUGCCAUCAGAGGACCGUCGCCCUCAGGAGCCCGAGCUCCCGCGGCUUCUCCGAAAUUGGAGUUCCAGAAGCCAUCCUUGGAUAACAUCUCUAUAAUCUCCUGGGAGAAUCCUUCUUCGAAGAAAUCCUCCAUCAGAGGAGAGUUCUUGGUCUCAGUCACAUCUGAAAGAGCAAGUGCAAAUGUCUCCUGUUCACUAAGGGCUGAAGUGCUGCACGAUCUCAGCUCAACGCAACCUCUGCCUCCUGGGUUCAAGUGAUUCUCCUGCCUCAGCCUCCCGAGUAGCUGGGACUGCAGGUGCCCUCCACCACGCCCAGCUAAUUUUUGUAUUUUUAGUAGAGACAGAGUUUCAGCAUGUUGGCCAGGCUGGUCUCGAACUCCUGACCUCAAGUGACCGGCCUGCCUCGCCCUCCCAAAGUGCUGGGAUUACAGGUAUGAGCCACCACGCCUGGCCCCCAUAUUCUUAACUACCAAGCUGUAUGCUCUCUGGGAUCCUUCACAAAACAUGAAUGUCACUGCUCUGCUGUAUGCCUCCAGUCUCCCCAUCUCUCCUCUCCUCCAUCAUCAUACCUUUUCCAGCCUGUCCCUUGUGCAGUUCUUGGCUCACCAUCUGAGUAUCUAUGAGACUGCUUAAAGUCUCUCUGCCUGGAAUUAAAACUUGCAAAUGAAAGCCUUCUGAAACCACAUCUUGUUCUGAAUUGUCACCUUUGCCUCUGCUCAUCUCUCCCACAGAUAUCCAGCUCACUCUCCUCACCACACUUGUGCUCAUGUUGUUCCCUCGGCCUCAAAUGCACCAACAGACAUGUAAUAGGCACCCCUUAUAUGCCAAGCAUGAUGUCAGGAGCUGGGAAUACAGGGUGAAUCAGCUAAGCCCUGCUUCCAAGAGCGGCAUGCUGUUAAAGGGGAAAGACGCUUAUGUGGUAACUAUGCAACUCAAGUGUCACUACUAGAGGAUAUGGAGGUAUAUUUGUUAGUAAAGGCAUGGCUACCUAUGUUUGGAAACAGCCAAUAUGCUGAGGUGACAGAAACAGAAAGCAGAAGUUGUGAGAGCCUGUGCAUGAGUUAGUCACCUAUGAGGAACACUGAUGUGCUGAAGAGGAGGCUGCAGAGGCCUCAUGUACACGAGCCUGAGCGUGGUGAGCCAAGAAGGGAGCUGCAGACUGACUGGAUGGGGUACAGCCUGAGAUUCCUGUGGUCUCUGGUUCAGGGCCCUGCUUCUCAUGCUGGGGACGUCUCUACCAUGGGUAAUACCCCAGGAAUCCUCACCACCUAACCUGAUCCACCUGGAGGAACCCCGGCUUGGGAGAUGGCAGGGCAGAUGCUCUUGGCAGCAUUCAGGCCUGGGCUUAAGUUACUCCCUGAUGUGGCCAUCUGCUAUGCCCCAGGGAUAGGAAGGAAAAAUGGGCCUGAAGGAAAGGAGGUAAAAGAAGUAGAAUGAGGGUCAACACACUCAGGGAGCACAAGGCAGGAAAGUAGAGAGACCAACUGAGAGAGUGGAGGGCGUACCCUUGUUGAGUCUGGAAGGAAAGAGGAGGAGCUGUGGAGAGGCACCAGGAUAACCCUGUGCUGAAGGGCAAGGUAGAGAGACCCCAGAGUGAGGGUCUAUAAAAAUGUCCUGAUCCCCCCAGCUCCCAGGACAAGGGGAUGGAAGCCAGCGAGAAGCAGAGUGAAGUCCUGAAGCUGAGCGUUGUAAUGUCUCGGUAGACCUGUGGGAAAGCUGGCUGCAGCCUCAGGAUGGAGGUCUGGAAGACAGAAGGUACACAAGGGGCCCCUCUCCAUCCACUCACCAGGGCUUGUUGCUUCUGGGCUUCCUCCUGCCAGAGGCUCCAGAUCUUCACUGCCAUCUGGGUGGGAGGUCAGGUUGGGUCUUGGGGGGUCUGCAGGGAGAGAAAAGCAUUGUCACCCAACCAGGACAUGGAGGACCAUCCAGACACUCAGUGAGAACCUCCUGGCUCUCCUGACUUUUCUAUGCUUUAUCCUGCACGUGGCUCCUGUGUGUGGACGAGGUGCUGCACUGGGCGACUCUGGGGAUGCCUGUCCUGUAGGGUUCCCAGUCCAGUGAUGGAGAGGGAGCCAAACAAUCACAAUCCAGGGUGAUCAAAGCUGUGACAGCUGGGGCUGGGGAUACAAAGGACUUGUGACAGCUCUUUAAUGGGCAGGAUCUGCCAGGUGGAGAGGCACGUACUUCCUUAGCCAUUCAUGAUUUAUUCACUGACCCAUGGGCCACACAUUGCCUGAGGCCUCCAUGGGCCAGGGACAGAAAAUGUCAGGGUCCCAGAGCCCAAGCAGUCCUGAGCCAUACCCUCCACAAGCUUCCCCAAGGAAGGGAACAGAGUCACCAUCCAGGAGGGAUACAGGCCACAGCGGAGAAAACGCCACUGCUGUCUUUGAAGACUGAGAAGCCAUGAGUCAAGCAAUACAGGUGACCUCCAGAAGCUGGCAACGGGCCAGGAAGGACUAUCUACGUGCUGGAGCCUCCAGAAGGAACAUGGUGGCCCUGCCAACACCUCGCCUCCAGCCCAGCCACAUGCAUUUGGAACUCCUGGCCUCCAGGACUGUAACAUAAUAAAAGUGUGCUGGUGGAAGCCACUGUGUUUGUGGUAUGUGUAACAGCAGCAAUAGGAAACGGAUACACUACUCAUACAUUCACACAAAUGGGUGAAGGGGCAGUCGAGGUAAACACACUUCUUACUGUGGGCUGUAGUUUAAAAAUUCAAAAAGACACUGAGGUAGGACCUCCCACGAGAUGCUUCUUAGCACACACUGGCCAGUCUGGAGAAAGUCUGCCCCAAUGUGAUGAGAUUCUAUCAAAUGAUAGUUUCCACCGUGUGUUAUCUUUUACUUCUUUCAUCUUUUGGAGUAAAUUAUUUUUCUGGUUCUUCAAAAAGAAAGAACUGAGGCAACAGAGAGGGAAAAUGAGUUAAUCAGGUGACACUGAUGGGGAGCUGGGGUGAUAUGGCCUUGGAGCUGCACAGACCUUAGCUGGAGUCUGGGCCCUGCUGCUGUCUCACUGUGUGACACUGGUGUGCAGAAGAGGGCGACACAGCAGGCUGGCUGCUCUCCUGGGAAAAGCCUGCUGGCAAGGCUGGAUUUCAGGGGGGUACCCCGUGUCUCCAGAACUGAAGAGACACGCUCCCUGGACCUAAACUGUGCAAACACGGUGGCUUACACCUGCUUUCCUUCUGGGGGGCUGGAAUUUUGGAAUGUGCCAGGCAGAGGAGCCCACAUGACCAGCCCCCAGUAAAAACCCUGGCACUGAGUCUCUGAUGAGCUUCCCUGGUGGACAGCAUUUCACACGCGAUAUCACAUUCUACAGUAUUGCUGGGGGAAUUAAGCAUGUCCCAUGUGACUCCCCUGAGAGAAUUCUGGAAGCUUGUGCCUGGCUUCCUUGGACUUUGCCCCAUGUACCUCCUCCCUUUGCUGACUGUGCUCUGAAUCUUUUCACUGUAGUAAGUCAUAGCCAUGAGUCUGACUACAGGAUGAGUCCUGGGAAUCCUAGCCAAUCACUGAAUCUGUGGGUGCUCCUGGGGACACUGACACAGCUGGGAAGGUGACUGCCACUCUUUUAACCUCAGUUUCAGACCAAUCGGCAAAAGAGGGACAACCCAGCUUCUUCAUGGGGUGACUGGAGGAUUGAACAAGCAAGUCCUAAGAGCUGCUACUCAAUCAUUCAUUAGUUUAGAGCUGUCUGCUGGGCCCUAGAGCAGGUACUGUUCGUUCCAAACACUGGGGACACGCCCUGUCCUCACACAGCUCCCGCUCUGAAUGAUACAAUGGUAGUUAGAACGUGAGGGAGCGACAGACAAGAUGAGUAGGAGAGGAGGUAUGGAGUUCUAACAGGGUCCCAGGUUAAACUUUAAAAAUGUAAGCCCUGAGAGCCGCUUAGGCAGAGGGGAGGGCAACUGGAAGACUUUGAAGUAUCAGCUUGAAGAAUGACUGACUACAAGUAGGAAAGUGGUGAAGACAAGGCUGGGGAGGCAGAUAGGGGCCAGAGCAGGGUUUCCCAGGCUUAGCACUACUGACACUGGCGUGGGCCAAUCCUUGGUUGUGGGGCUGUGCUGUGCACUGUAGGAUGUGUGGCAGCCUCCCUUGGUUCCACCAGCUAGAUGCUAGCGGCACGCUGCGCUGGCCCAAGGAGUAACAAUCAAAAAUGUCUCCACACAUUGCCAAUGUCUCCUCGGCCAGCUGAGAACUGCUGGGCUAGGUCAUGCUGAUUCUGAGGAGCCCAGGAGCCAGGACUUCACCCUGUGGGUGGUAGAGAGCAUGGGUGAUCACCAAGCAGGGCAGUGAGUAGGCCCCUGGGGACAGGCAACACUCACCCAGCAGGAAGAGGUCCUGGCAAUUGUCCAACGCUGUGUCCCAGAACGUGUCCCCCUGUUCCAGCCCGAGCUGCUCCCAGUCUCCCAAGGUGAAGUCCAUGCCGACAUCCUUGAGGGUCACAAAUUCCUGAAACACAGUACACUAUUGGUCACUCAGAGGCUGGGGUCAGGGAGGAGCCCAACAGCUCACUCAGGGCACUCCCAGCCCUCAAUCUGCCAGGGCUUUGGCAAAAACCAUCCCAUCCUCAGCCUCACAAGAAUCUUGAGAUGUAAGAGACUGGAAACCCCUGUAUUUUGUAGGCAAAGAAAAGGACCUUGACUUUGACCAGGGGACAGGAUGUCAACCGAAGUUAACACAGGUGGGACUGAACCCAGGUCUGCCUGAUCCUAAAAAUCUAUUUUACGCUUUUGCUUUAAGUGUUCAUUCAAGACUUAUUUUGUAAACUUUCAAACAUACAUACAAGUAGAGAUGUAUAUAAUUAACACCCAUGAACUCAUCACCCAGGGGUCAUCUGAUUUCACCUGUGAAUACUUCAGUAUGAACAGUAACUCCUUAAUCACUGAACACCUAGACCACAUUCAAAAUCUGUAUACAGAUUAGUCUGACAUCUCAGUGGUGUGUCUUUAUAGCUAGCUCGUCUCAAUCAGAAUCCAGGGGGCCCAUACCCUGUAACUGAUGUG